GGCAGCACGGGUACUUGUACCUGGUGGCGAGCGGCGGACGGGUGAGUAAUGCCUAGGAAUCUGCCUGGUAGUGGGGGAUAACGCUCGGAAACGGACGCUAAUACCGCAUACGUCCUACGGGAGAAAGCAGGGGACCUUCGGGCCUUGCGCUAUCAGAUGAGCCUAGGUCGGAUUAGCUAGUUGGUGAGGUAAUGGCUCACCAAGGCGACGAUCCGUAACUGGUCUGAGAGGAUGAUCAGUCACACUGGAACUGAGACACGGUCCAGACUCCUACGGGAGGCAGCAGUGGGGAAUAUUGGACAAUGGGCGAAAGCCUGAUCCAGCCAUGCCGCGUGUGUGAAGAAGGUCUUCGGAUUGUAAAGCACUUUAAGUUGGGAGGAAGGGCAUUUACCUAAUACGUGAGUGUUUUGACGUUACCGACAGAAUAAGCACCGGCUAACUCUGUGCCAGCAGCCGCGGUAAUACAGAGGGUGCAAGCGUUAAUCGUGAAUUACUGGGUCGAAAAGCGCGCGUAGGUGGUUUGCUAA
RNAcentral lists this ribosomal RNA (527 nucleotides) under Pseudomonas sp. LS72. Its description in RNAcentral is "bacterial SSU rRNA". It matches the Rfam family "Bacterial small subunit ribosomal RNA", at positions 65 to 586 of the family's 1533-position model. Lineage: Bacteria; Pseudomonadati; Pseudomonadota; Gammaproteobacteria; Pseudomonadales; Pseudomonadaceae. The record is from RNAcentral.